GCUGCAGGAAGUUGCGCAUUUGUGGAACUGCCACAGAAAUUGCCCCAGCAGGAAUGCAGUUUGUCCAAGUGGACGACCACUAAUGAUGUACCGACUUCCCCACCUGUUUGGGACUACAGACCGCACCAGAGCAGUACUCCAUCAGCAAAUACAAGCUUGCAGAGAGGAAUCCCUGCCAAGAGGCCCAUAUCCAUGUGAUGAGACUGUUUUUGACAUUUGUUGCCUGGCAAUGUCCGAAAAUAAUCGACCCAUCCCCAGCCUACUAAUUCAGAGGAGACAAUCGAACAUUACCUGUUUUUAAGAGCAUACAUCCACACCCACAUUUAAUAGCUGUUCCCACAAAGACAGCUGACUUCAGAUCUACCUGACUGCAGGACACUAUAGCAGCAUUGAACAUGUUUACCUGUUAUUUUCUGUCUUAAAUGUGACUAUUUGAUCUCUGUAUUGUUUCUUAGAUUAAUGAUUUUGUAAUCAGCAUGUGUUCAGCUCGUAAAAUGGGAGACCGAAAUGUAUUAAAUCUAUGCUCUAUUUGUUAUUAUACAUUAAAAACAAUGUUGAAAGGCA
This is a long non-coding RNA of Gadus morhua (Atlantic cod), 564 nucleotides long. RefSeq lists it as uncharacterized. The transcript is spliced from 2 exons. NCBI's taxonomy places the organism in Eukaryota, Metazoa, Chordata, Actinopteri, Gadiformes, Gadidae. The record is from RefSeq and is a predicted model, not a curated record.